Molecule: non-coding RNA, 559 nt
Organism: Cinara cedri
Lineage: Eukaryota; Metazoa; Arthropoda; Insecta; Hemiptera; Aphididae
Source: the annotation of a GenBank genome assembly
GCAGCGCGUCCAAAUUAUAAAAUUUUAUUAUCAAAAUAAAUGUUCGGUAGUUCAAACUUUGCGCUCGUUACGUCCAUUUUUUGGCCGACGUAGUGGUCCUUCAAAGUCGACUCUCCAACGUUUGGUGUCGAAAUUUGAGACAACUGGUACGGUAAACGAUCAGUUAACAUCCCCCUACAUCAAAGAUCGGUCCAGAAUAUCGCCGCGGUACGUGAAAGUGUGCAGGAGAACCCGAGGCAGUCAAUUCCUCGCCGUGCACAAGAACUCGGUCUUUCACAGUCUUCAACUUGGCGAAUUUUGCGCCGGGACUCGGGCUUACACCCGUAUAAGAUCCAACUGACCCAGGAGCUCAAAAUUAAUGACCAUAGACAACGCCGAUUGUUUGCUGACUGGGUUUCGGAGCGUUUGGAAGAGGACCCUAAUUUUGGCCGAAAAAUCGUCUUUAGUGACGAAGCGCAUUUUUGGAUGAAUGGCUAUGUUAACAAGCAAAAUUGCCGUAUUUGGGACAAUACCAACCCACACGAGGUUCAACAGGUAACAAUGCAUCCACAAAANUUUU